This 20-nucleotide microRNA is filed under the name Ciona intestinalis (vase tunicate). Its description in RNAcentral is "cin-miR-4005b-5p". The record is from miRBase by way of RNAcentral. Lineage: Eukaryota; Metazoa; Chordata; Ascidiacea; Phlebobranchia; Cionidae.
UGAGUUGGUGCUAUCAUGCU